CUUUCGUCUGUUGCGCCUUUUCUCUCCCUGGUGUUUAAGAACGUGGAGGACAAAAGGAUACCAAAGAAUCGAAAACUAUGACAAAGAUUCUUCAAGAUCACAAGCACCAUCUUUGACAUGUUGCCAUGGUAGCAGAUACAGGGGAAACAAGUGUAGACGAUGCCACAAGAAGGAUGAUGAAAUUCCUCAUAUCACCUGAGCUGGCUGUGGAGUACAACAUGCUUGGCCGACAUGGGGAAAAAAAGUUCAGAGAUUUGCGUCUUUUUAAUGUUGUGUAUGAGGCACUGAAGAAUUAUUUAACAUCAAAAGUCAACUUGCAAGAAGCAGAGAAGGCUCUGUCCAAGUGGUUCAGUGGAGCUAAAGACAGAGGAGGACCGAGGGCUGCAAGGGUACAAAAUAGACUUACGGCUCUGUAAAAAAACAAACCCUGCUGAUUCAAGAUAAGCUUUUGAGUUUUCCAUCUGACUUUUUCCCCAUGUUGCUACAGUUCCAAAUAUCUAAGGAAUUUUGCUGUAGUUUGACAUUUCUAGUUUUUAAACGUUUACGCACUUUGGAAUACAGUUACGUAAAAUCACAGUUGUUGGACAAAAUAAAUGUGAAAAAUGUU
Maylandia zebra (zebra mbuna) is the source of this 607-nucleotide long non-coding RNA. RefSeq lists it as uncharacterized. The record is from RefSeq and is a predicted model, not a curated record. Lineage: Eukaryota; Metazoa; Chordata; Actinopteri; Cichliformes; Cichlidae.